AUUGAACGCUGGCGGCAGGCUUAACACAUGCAAGUCGAACGAGUGGCGGACGGGUGAGUAAUGUCUGGGAAACUGCCCGAUGGCGGGGGAUAACUACUGGAAACGGUAGCUAAUACCGCAUACCAUCGGAUGUUCCCAGAUGGGCUUAGCUAGUAGGUGGGGUAAGGGCUCACCUAGGCGACGAUCCCUAGAUGGUCUGAGAGGAUGACCAGCCACACUGGAACUGAGACACGGACCAGACUCCUACGGGAGGAAGCAGUGGGGAAUAUUGCACAAUGGGCGCAAGCCUGAUGCAGCCAUGCCGCGUGUAUGAAGAAGGCCUUCGGGUUGUAAAGUACUUUCAGCGAGGAGGCGUUACUCGCAGAAGAAGCACCGGCUAACUCCGUGCCAGCAGCCGCGGUAAUAC
RNAcentral lists this ribosomal RNA (406 nucleotides) under uncultured bacterium. Its description in RNAcentral is "partial 16S ribosomal RNA". It matches the Rfam family "Bacterial small subunit ribosomal RNA", at positions 30 to 526 of the family's 1533-position model. The record is from RNAcentral.